RNAcentral lists this ribosomal RNA (649 nucleotides) under Larpelites sp. NL466. Its description in RNAcentral is "eukaryotic LSU rRNA". It matches the Rfam family "Eukaryotic large subunit ribosomal RNA", at positions 420 to 809 of the family's 3401-position model. Lineage: Eukaryota; Metazoa; Arthropoda; Insecta; Hymenoptera; Ichneumonidae. The record is from RNAcentral.
CCUGAGAAACCCAAAAGAUCGAAUGGGGAGAUUCAUCGUCAGCGAUUUUGGUACGUGUGCGGUCUCGCGAUGCCGGUGACUUCGGUCUCCAGGCACGCGUCCGCAUGUCUUUUAUUGCCUCGAUCGUCGGCGUGCACUUCUCCCCUAGUAGGACGUCGCGACCCGUUGGGUGUCGGUCUACGGCCCGGGUGGUAGCCUGUCUCGUGUGCGCUUCGCGGCGUUACGCGGUUCAGACCCCCGGUUGCCCGACCGGCUGCCCGGCGGUACUCGUACGGUAUCUGGCCGCAAAUAUUCGAACUGCGUCCGGCCCGUCGCAAGCGAGUCAAGUGUUUCCCGGUUGUACGGAUCCAAUGCCGUCACCGGGCCUUGUCGGCUGUUGGUUGACGGUGUCCUAGGACUGGCCAAAUCAAUUAUGAUACCGGUCGGCGACGCUACUGCUUUGGGUACUUUCAGGACCCGUCUUGAAACACGGACCAAGGAGUCUAACAUGUGCGCGAGUCAUUGGGAACUAUUAAGCCUAAAGGCGCAAUGAAAGUGAAGGUCGGCCUUGCGCCGACCGAGGGAGGAUGGGCCGCGUUACGAUGCGGUCCCGCACUCCCGGGGCGUCUCAUUCUCAUUGCGAGAAGAGGCGCACCCAGAGCGUACACGU